ACACUUUACUUUAACAUGGAGGCACUUGCUGUGACUUCAUAAAAAAAUAAGUGCUUCCAUGUUUUAGUGCGG
RNAcentral lists this microRNA precursor (72 nucleotides) under Capra hircus (goat). Its description in RNAcentral is "mir-302d". It matches the Rfam family "mir-302 microRNA precursor family". Lineage: Eukaryota; Metazoa; Chordata; Mammalia; Artiodactyla; Bovidae. The record is from RNAcentral.